Molecule: ribosomal RNA, 116 nt
Filed under: Providencia alcalifaciens
Lineage: Bacteria; Pseudomonadati; Pseudomonadota; Gammaproteobacteria; Enterobacterales; Morganellaceae
Source: RNAcentral
UGGCGGCCAUAGCGCGGUGGUCCCACCCUGAUCCCAUGCCGAACUCAGUAGUGAAACGCCGUAGCGCCGAUGGUAGUGUGGGGUCUCCCCAUGUGAGAGUAGGGAACUGCCAGACA